Molecule: non-coding RNA, 415 nt
Organism: Grammomys surdaster
Lineage: Eukaryota; Metazoa; Chordata; Mammalia; Rodentia; Muridae
Source: the annotation of a RefSeq genome assembly
ACUGCCUUCUCUGUAGAGACUGAGAACACAGGACUUCACCAUGGAAUGGAGCCAGAUCAUCCUCUUUCUAGUGGUAGCAUCUACAUGUGUUCACUCUGAGGUUCAGCUGCAGCAGUCUGGAUCUGAGCUGGUGAGACCUGGGUCCUCAGUGAAGAUGUCCUGCAAGACUUCUGGCUACACCUUUACCGGCUAUGUUAUACACUGGGUAAAGCAGAGCUCUGGACAUGGCCUUGAGUGGAUUGGAUGGAUUUAUCCUUACAAUGAUAAUACUAACUACAAUCAAAAGUUCAAGGACAAGGCAAUGCUGACCACAGACAAAUCUUCCAGCACAGCCUACAUGGAGCUCAGCAGCCUGACAUCUGAGGACUCUGCGGUCUAUUACUGUGCAAGGCACAGUGUUGCAACCACAUCCUGA